AUGCAGAUCCAAGUCCGGUGCGGGUGCGGCGAGGCGGCGUGCCCGGAGUGGGCGGUGGUGGAGGUGCAGGGCGUGCUGCAGCCGCAGCCCUGCUUCUCCGGCCGCAUCCAGGGCCUCCACAUCGGCCGCCUCUGCUCCACCUCCUCCGCCCCGUCUUCCAAGGCAAGAACCACCAACCCUCCCUGCAUACUUGGUUUCUUGAUUUGGUUUGGGGGAUCUUCACGGCGGUCUUGCCAUUGCCAGGGCGGGUACACCUUCACCGUGGGGUACCAUGAGCUCGCCGGCUCGAAGGUGACUCUCAAGAAGCCCCUUCUGGUGCUGAGGAAGAAGAAGAACGACAAGGGGAACCCCGGCGAGCUCGGACAAGGUGGACAGGCGGCGGCGGCGGCGGAGGUGGAGCUGGAGGUGAUUGGCAUCAUCCGGCACAAGAUCCUCUUCAAGGACCGCCCCAAGGCCCUCAUCUCAAAGCCGGUGCCGAAGGAGAAGAAGGCCAUGCCGGAAGCGGCGACCCCAUCAACCGUGCCUCCCGCUUCCUGA
RNAcentral lists this ribosomal RNA (537 nucleotides) under Triticum aestivum (bread wheat). Its description in RNAcentral is "partial small subunit ribosomal RNA". The record is from RNAcentral. Lineage: Eukaryota; Viridiplantae; Streptophyta; Magnoliopsida; Poales; Poaceae.